GCCAGUCUAUACAUGCAGUAAA
Molecule: microRNA, 22 nt
Filed under: Drosophila mojavensis
Lineage: Eukaryota; Metazoa; Arthropoda; Insecta; Diptera; Drosophilidae
Description: Dmo-Mir-9703_3p* (star (passenger))
Source: RNAcentral